CGAACGCUGGCGGCGUGCUUAACACAUGCAAGUCGAACGGAAAGGCCCUGCUUUUGUGGGGUGCUCGAGUGGCGAACGGGUGAGUAACACGUGAGUAACCUGCCCUUGACUUUGGGAUAACUUCAGGAAACUGGGGCUAAUACCGGAUAGGAGCUCCUGCUGCAUGGUGGGGGUUGGAAAGUUUCGGCGGUUGGGGAUGGACUCGCGGCUUAUCAGCUUGUUGGUGGGGUAGUGGCUUACCAAGGCUUUGACGGGUAGCCGGCCUGAGAGGGUGACCGGCCACAUUGGGACUGAGAUACGGCCCAGAUUCCUACGGGAGGCAGCAGUGGGGAAUAUUGCACAAUGGGCGGAAGCCUGAUGCAGCAACGCCGCGUGCGGGAUGACGGCCUUCGGGUUGUAAACCGCUUUCGCCUGUGACGAAGCGUGAGUGACGGUAAUGGGUAAAGAAGCACCGGCUAACUACGUG
Molecule: ribosomal RNA, 466 nt
Filed under: uncultured bacterium
Lineage: Bacteria
Description: partial 16S ribosomal RNA
Rfam family: Bacterial small subunit ribosomal RNA
Source: RNAcentral